GAGUUUGAUCCUGGCUCAGGACGAACGCUGGCGGCGUGCUUAACACAUGCAAGUCGAACGGAAAGGCCUCUUCGGAGGUACUCGAGUGGCGAACGGGUGAGUAACACGUGGGCAAUCUGCCCUGCACUUCGGGAUAAGCCUGGGAAACUGGGUCUAAUACCGGAUAGGACCUCAAGACGCAUGUCUUCUGGUGGAAAGCUUUUGCGGUGUGGGAUGGGCCCGCGGCCUAUCAGCUUGUUGGUGGGGUGACGGCCUACCAAGGCGACGACGGGUAGCCGGCCUGAGAGGGUGUCCGGCCACACUGGGACUGAGAUACGGCCCAGACUCCUACGGGAGGCAGCAGAAGGG
This 348-nucleotide ribosomal RNA is filed under the name uncultured Mycobacterium sp. RNAcentral describes it as "bacterial SSU rRNA". It matches the Rfam family "Bacterial small subunit ribosomal RNA", at positions 9 to 359 of the family's 1533-position model. The record is from RNAcentral. Lineage: Bacteria; Bacillati; Actinomycetota; Actinomycetes; Mycobacteriales; Mycobacteriaceae.